CCUACGGGAGGCAGCAGUGGGGAAUUUUGGACAAUGGGGGCAACCCUGAUCCAGCCAUGCCGCGUGAGUGAAGAAGGCCUUCGGGUUGUAAAGCUCUUUCGGCCGGAACGAAAUCGCGCACGUGAAUAACGUGCGUGGAUGACGGUACCGGAGUAAGAAGCACCGGCUAACUACGUGCCAGCAGCCGCGGUAAUACGUAGGGUGCGAGCGUUAAUCGGAAUUACUGGGCGUAAAGCGUGCGCAGGCGGUUCGCUAAGUCAGACGUGAAAGCCCCGGGCUUAACCUGGGAACGGCGUUUGAAACUGGCGGGCUCGAGUACGGCAGAGGGGGGUGGAAUUCCACGUGUAGCAGUGAAAUGCGUAGAUAUGUGGAGGAACACCGAUGGCGAAGGCAGCCCCCUGGGCCGAUACUGACGCUCAUGCACGAAAGCGUGGGGAGCAAACAGGAUUAGAUACCCUGGUAGUCCACGCCCUAAACUAUGUCAACUAGUUGUCGGGGAAGCAAUUCCUUGGUAACGCAGCUACGACGUGAGUAGUACCGCCGNGGGAGGUACGGUCGCGAGAGUAAACUACUAAUAGUAAGUUAGUUACGGUCGUUGAGAGUUGCCGACGGCGACGACGAGGGAGGAGG
RNAcentral lists this ribosomal RNA (630 nucleotides) under uncultured bacterium. RNAcentral's name for it is "bacterial SSU rRNA". The stretch from base 1 to 542 matches the Rfam family "Bacterial small subunit ribosomal RNA", at positions 338 to 873 of the family's 1533-position model. The record is from RNAcentral.